This 2761-nucleotide ribosomal RNA is filed under the name Escherichia coli. RNAcentral's name for it is "bacterial LSU rRNA". It matches the Rfam family "Bacterial large subunit ribosomal RNA". The record is from RNAcentral. Lineage: Bacteria; Pseudomonadati; Pseudomonadota; Gammaproteobacteria; Enterobacterales; Enterobacteriaceae.
ACACUAUCAUUAACUGAAUCCAUAGGUUAAUGAGGCGAACCGGGGGAACUGAAACAUCUAAGUACCCCGAGGAAAAGAAAUCAACCGAGAUUCCCCCAGUAGCGGCGAGCGAACGGGGAGCAGCCCAGAGCCUGAAUCAGUGUGUGUGUUAGUGGAAGCGUCUGGAAAGGCGCGCGAUACAGGGUGACAGCCCCGUACACAAAAAUGCACAUGCUGUGAGCUCGAUGAGUAGGGCGGGACACGUGGUAUCCUGUCUGAAUAUGGGGGGACCAUCCUCCAAGGCUAAAUACUCCUGACUGACCGAUAGUGAACCAGUACCGUGAGGGAAAGGCGAAAAGAACCCCGGCGAGGGGAGUGAAAAAGAACCUGAAACCGUGUACGUACAAGCAGUGGGAGCACGCUUAGGCGUGUGACUGCGUACCUUUUGUAUAAUGGGUCAGCGACUUAUAUUCUGUAGCAAGGUUAACCGAAUAGGGGAGCCGAAGGGAAACCGAGUCUUAACUGGGCGUUAAGUUGCAGGGUAUAGACCCGAAACCCGGUGAUCUAGCCAUGGGCAGGUUGAAGGUUGGGUAACACUAACUGGAGGACCGAACCGACUAAUGUUGAAAAAUUAGCGGAUGACUUGUGGCUGGGGGUGAAAGGCCAAUCAAACCGGGAGAUAGCUGGUUCUCCCCGAAAGCUAUUUAGGUAGCGCCUCGUGAAUUCAUCUCCGGGGGUAGAGCACUGUUUCGGCAAGGGGGUCAUCCCGACUUACCAACCCGAUGCAAACUGCGAAUACCGGAGAAUGUUAUCACGGGAGACACACGGCGGGUGCUAACGUCCGUCGUGAAGAGGGAAACAACCCAGACCGCCAGCUAAGGUCCCAAAGUCAUGGUUAAGUGGGAAACGAUGUGGGAAGGCCCAGACAGCCAGGAUGUUGGCUUAGAAGCAGCCAUCAUUUAAAGAAAGCGUAAUAGCUCACUGGUCGAGUCGGCCUGCGCGGAAGAUGUAACGGGGCUAAACCAUGCACCGAAGCUGCGGCAGCGACGCUUAUGCGUUGUUGGGUAGGGGAGCGUUCUGUAAGCCUGUGAAGGUGUGCUGUGAGGCAUGCUGGAGGUAUCAGAAGUGCGAAUGCUGACAUAAGUAACGAUAAAGCGGGUGAAAAGCCCGCUCGCCGGAAGACCAAGGGUUCCUGUCCAACGUUAAUCGGGGCAGGGUGAGUCGACCCCUAAGGCGAGGCCGAAAGGCGUAGUCGAUGGGAAACAGGUUAAUAUUCCUGUACUUGGUGUUACUGCGAAGGGGGGACGGAGAAGGCUAUGUUGGCCGGGCGACGGUUGUCCCGGUUUAAGCGUGUAGGCUGGUUUUCCAGGCAAAUCCGGAAAAUCAAGGCUGAGGCGUGAUGACGAGGCACUACGGUGCUGAAGCAACAAAUGCCCUGCUUCCAGGAAAAGCCUCUAAGCAUCAGGUAACAUCAAAUCGUACCCCAAACCGACACAGGUGGUCAGGUAGAGAAUACCAAGGCGCUUGAGAGAACUCGGGUGAAGGAACUAGGCAAAAUGGUGCCGUAACUUCGGGAGAAGGCACGCUGAUAUGUAGGUGAAGUCCCUCGCGGAUGGAGCUGAAAUCAGUCGAAGAUACCAGCUGGCUGCAACUGUUUAUUAAAAACACAGCACUGUGCAAACACGAAAGUGGACGUAUACGGUGUGACGCCUGCCCGGUGCCGGAAGGUUAAUUGAUGGGGUCAGCGCAAGCGAAGCUCUUGAUCGAAGCCCCGGUAAACGGCGGCCGUAACUAUAACGGUCCUAAGGUAGCGAAAUUCCUUGUCGGGUAAGUUCCGACCUGCACGAAUGGCGUAAUGAUGGCCAGGCUGUCUCCACCCGAGACUCAGUGAAAUUGAACUCGCUGUGAAGAUGCAGUGUACCCGCGGCAAGACGGAAAGACCCCGUGAACCUUUACUAUAGCUUGACACUGAACAUUGAGCCUUGAUGUGUAGGAUAGGUGGGAGGCUUUGAAGUGUGGACGCCAGUCUGCAUGGAGCCGACCUUGAAAUACCACCCUUUAAUGUUUGAUGUUCUAACGUUGACCCGUAAUCCGGGUUGCGGACAGUGUCUGGUGGGUAGUUUGACUGGGGCGGUCUCCUCCUAAAGAGUAACGGAGGAGCACGAAGGUUGGCUAAUCCUGGUCGGACAUCAGGAGGUUAGUGCAAUGGCAUAAGCCAGCUUGACUGCGAGCGUGACGGCGCGAGCAGGUGCGAAAGCAGGUCAUAGUGAUCCGGUGGUUCUGAAUGGAAGGGCCAUCGCUCAACGGAUAAAAGGUACUCCGGGGAUAACAGGCUGAUACCGCCCAAGAGUUCAUAUCGACGGCGGUGUUUGGCACCUCGAUGUCGGCUCAUCACAUCCUGGGGCUGAAGUAGGUCCCAAGGGUAUGGCUGUUCGCCAUUUAAAGUGGUACGCGAGCUGGGUUUAGAACGUCGUGAGACAGUUCGGUCCCUAUCUGCCGUGGGCGCUGGAGAACUGAGGGGGGCUGCUCCUAGUACGAGAGGACCGGAGUGGACGCAUCACUGGUGUUCGGGUUGUCAUGCCAAUGGCACUGCCCGGUAGCUAAAUGCGGAAGAGAUAAGUGCUGAAAGCAUCUAAGCACGAAACUUGCCCCGAGAUGAGUUCUCCCUGACUCCUUGAGAGUCCUGAAGGAACGUUGAAGACGACGACGUUGAUAGGCCGGGUGUGUAAGCGCAGCGAUGCGUUGAGCUAACCGGUACUAAUGAACCGUGAGGCUUAACCUU